AUGGAGGGGACAUGCCCUUCUUCACGUCUCGUGCAACAAGUAAGGACUAGCCUCCGGCUUCUGGUGGGCGUCGUGCUCUUCAACCACUUAGAGAUGGACUUUGAUGUGAAGCCCGAUGACCACGCCACAUGGAUGAUCGUCCAUGUGAUCGCGACGCCGGAUGUCGCCGAGGUGGAGGACCUCGAUGCCAUCUUUCGGGGUGAGGGAGGAUUCGGGUCAUCCAGCGUCUGA
RNAcentral lists this ribosomal RNA (231 nucleotides) under Triticum aestivum (bread wheat). Its description in RNAcentral is "partial small subunit ribosomal RNA". Lineage: Eukaryota; Viridiplantae; Streptophyta; Magnoliopsida; Poales; Poaceae. The record is from RNAcentral.